AGCAGCCGCGGUAAUCCCAGCUCCAAUAGCGUAUAUUAAAGUUGUUGCAGUUAAAAAGCUCGUAGUUGAAUUUCGGGAUUGACACAUCGGUCGUGCCUUAAGGGGUAUGAACUGGUGUAGUCAAUUUCUCACCUUCUGGAGAACCGCGAUGCCCUUAAUUGGGUGUCGCGAGGAACCAGGACCUUUACUUUGAAAAAUUAGAGUGUUUAAAGCAGGCAUUUUGCUUGAAUACAUUAGCAUGGAAUAAUAAAAUAGGACGGCAUGAUUCUAUUUUGUUGGUUUUAGGAUCACCGUAAUGAUUAAUAGGGAUAGUUGGGGGCAUUAGUAUUCAAUUGUCAGAGGUGAAAUUCUUGGAUUUAUUGAAGACUAACUACUGCGAAAGCAUUUGCCAAGGAUGUUUUCAUUAAUCAAGAACGAAAGUUAGGGGAUCGAAGACGAUCAGAUACCGUCGUAGUCUUAACCAUAAACUAUGCCGACUAGGAAUCAGACGAUGUUAAUUUUUAAUGACUCGUUUGGCACC
This 520-nucleotide ribosomal RNA is filed under the name uncultured Glomus. RNAcentral describes it as "SSU rRNA". It matches the Rfam family "Eukaryotic small subunit ribosomal RNA", at positions 569 to 1087 of the family's 1831-position model. Lineage: Eukaryota; Fungi; Glomeromycota; Glomeromycetes; Glomerales; Glomeraceae. The record is from RNAcentral.